CAACGAGAAGACGACGUUCGCCGACGCCUUCGCGAUGGCCGAUCAGGUGCUCUAUUCGGGCGUCGCCUGCAUCACCGACCUGAUGGUGAAGGAAGGCCUCAUCAACCUCGACUUCGCCGACGUCCGCGCCGUGNNNNNNNCGAUGAUGGGCACCGGCGAAGCCACCGGCGAGAAGCGUGCGCUGACCGCGGCGGAAGCUG
Molecule: unclassified non-coding RNA, 200 nt
Filed under: Hevea brasiliensis (rubber tree)
Lineage: Eukaryota; Viridiplantae; Streptophyta; Magnoliopsida; Malpighiales; Euphorbiaceae
Source: RNAcentral